Molecule: ribosomal RNA, 468 nt
Filed under: uncultured bacterium
Lineage: Bacteria
Description: partial 16S ribosomal RNA
Rfam family: Bacterial small subunit ribosomal RNA
Source: RNAcentral
GACGAACGCUGGCGUCGUGCUUAACACAUGCAAGUCGAACGGAAAGGCCCUGCUUUUGUGGGGUGCUCGAGUGGCGAACGGGUGAGUAACACGUGAGUAACCUGCCCUUGACUUUGGGAUAACUUCAGGAAACUGGGGCUAAUACCGGAUAGGAGCUCCUGCUGCAUGGUGGGGGUUGGAAAGUUUCGGCGGUUGGGGAUGGACUCGCGGCUUAUCAGCUUGUUGGUGGGGUAGUGGCUUACCAAGGCUUUGACGGGUAGCCGGCCUGAGAGGGUGACCGGCCACAUUGGGACUGAGAUACGGCCCAGACUCCUACGGGAGGCAGCAGUGGGGAAUAUUGCACAAUGGGCGGAAGCCUGAUGCAGCAACGCCGCGUGCGGGAUGACGGCCUUCGGGUUGUAAACCGCUUUCGCCUGUGACGAAGCGUGAGUGACGGUAAUGGGUAAAGAAGCACCGACUAACUACGUG